This 1877-nucleotide long non-coding RNA is filed under the name Heterocephalus glaber (naked mole-rat). RNAcentral describes it as "lncRNA (ENSHGLG00100049715.1)". The record is from RNAcentral. Lineage: Eukaryota; Metazoa; Chordata; Mammalia; Rodentia; Bathyergidae.
CGCCCCUCUUGCGCUGGAGCUGCCGCAGCGCCCCCUGCCGGCGGAGCUGGCGCAGACCGAGGGACCCACCGCGCAGUGCUCAGAACCUGGGCUUUGGUUUUGACUGUUUACCCUUGAGCUGAAAUGCGGCAGUCAAGCUCCAUGUCUAUUGGUAGCGAGUGAUUCCUUGUUAAAGACAGGAGAAAGGAUUUCUCUAUGAUAAAUACAGGACUUACUGAAAAUUGAACUAGUCAAAGCCGGGUGUGGCAGUGCGCACCUGCAAUCCCACCACUCCAGGAGGCUGAGGCAGGAGGACCACAAGCGUGAAGCCCGGCUUUCAUUGGGAAACUUCGCGACUUACUGAGACCCGCUCUCGGAUUUCUUUAAAAAGGCAAAAGGGUGGGGGAUGUAGCUCAGUGCAAAGGGUCUGGGUUCAAACCCGCUACCAAAGCAAGAGACUUCAUCUUCCCAGGAAGAGGGAGACAAACUUCAUCUUGCAUCUCUGCCAAGUGUUAGGUCAUCUCGGUGCUCAGCGAGGCUGUGGCGCCGGAGUCGGGUUGCUGGGUCUCCCUGGAGAAUCUUCCGGGCCCGGGUCGGCGCAGGCUAACUGGGAAGCCAGCCCCGCGGCCCCGAGGCCACCACCACCCUGCUGUGGACACGGGACUGUUCAGCUCAGCCGGAGUGGGAUCUCGCAGGAGCAUUCGGGAGCCAUGGGCGGGCUAACUGGAAGUACAGUGGACCCUUGACUUAGGGACGUGAUCAGUUCCGGAGGGCUGGUUGUAACUCAAGUUGGUGGCUAGGGUCAGUAGUAUCAAGCUCGGCAUGAAUUACCAAGCCCUGAAAGUGAGACUAUAAUGGAAACUGCAAUUGAAGCACGCAGCGACAGCACUGCGGAUGGAAAGCUAUGAUACAGCCAUGGUCACCCCUCAUUCCCAGGACAGUGUGGCACAGUGGCUGAUGCUGGUGCCGAAGUCAGAGGAUCAGAGCUUCAGGCUGGGACAUAUCUGGAUCCUGCUGCAGCAAAUAUUCACAGUAUUUCUACAGACAGCCAGGACAGAGCUUUGAACAGGCGGUUCACCGAAUCCAGCAGUGUGCUGGUCCUGGCUUACCAACCAGCUGCUUGGAAAAGAGCAGAAGUCCUCAGUUACAGUUUUGGAGAGUUCAUGGUGGAAGGGCAAGACCCGUCUCUGGCGCUUCAGCAUGGGCGGAAGCAGAGGCCUUCGUUCUCUUAUCCCACUCCAGCGAGACUUCCCCCCGGACCUCAUCUGAGUCCAUCCUGCCUCGGUCAUCUGGGCUUCAGAACCUGGUGAGGAGAACAUGCAGGAGGCACCACCAAGUGGCAGAGGCAGGCGGCUUGCAAGACACACGGCUUUCAUCCUGAGAACAACGGAACUACUGAAGGAACUUAGCGAAGAAGGGAUGGGCAGGGGUGACAGUGGGACUUAUCCAUGUGGCUUUUGGCUUAGAGACGCAGGACAGGUGGCAGCUCUGUCCUGAAAUGGGAGCAGGAGACGCAGACUAAGCUGCAAUUGGGAGUAGGCACUGAGGGGAGGGCCGAGGCUCAGGGGGUUUGGAUUCAACUCCUCAGUGUAAAGUUGACAACCGGUGAGGUUGUACAGGAGACAGGGACAGAGGAGCUCAGACUGUGAAAGGACAGGCAGAGAAAAGCCCUGGCCCGCCCCCCAAAAUGGUCAGAGAGGUAGCUGGAAAAUCAGAAAUAGACGACAUAUUAAAACUUGUAGCAGGCUGGGGAUGUAGCCUGGUGGUAAAGCAUGCAUGAAGCCCUGGAUUACACACACACACACACACACACACACACACACACACAUAACUUGCUCACUGCUCCCACACAUGCUCAUUGCUUGGGUCCUGUUAUUAGAAAUAAGUUUACUUAUGAC